CUCUGGUUUAGUGCUUGUGUAUUUUUGAGUAGUCUUUUGAGAUGCUCCAAGGAACGUUUCUGUUCAGGUCAGCCCGAGCCCCGAGGUAGUGAAAGGCAGUCGUCUGACUCUGACCUGCAACAAUAACGCCAACCCUGCAGCAGAGACCUACACCUGGUUUCAGAGGACAGGAACGCUAACUUCACUAAGAUUAGGGAUGGGGAAAGAACACACCUUCAAAGAAAUAGAUUCUGAUGACAGUGGACUGUACUUCUGUAUGGCCCAGAAUGCCCUCGGAUCACAGAACUUUACAGAACUGGAGUUGAAAGUUAAAGAAUCAGCCCAUUUAAUGGUGGUCCUGGCAGCAUUUGGGGCUAUCUUCCUGGUCACAGCAGUGAUUGUGGUGCUCUACAUUUACAUAAAAAGUUACAGAAAGCAACCUUUUCUAGACCAGAGGACAUCUAUGAAAACAUGAGACGGUCAGCCAAGCCGAUCACUGAUCCUGAUGCAUGAAUUACGCAGAGCUCAAUAUCAGGCCUGCUCCUUCACACAGGAGGCAGCUGAAUAACAAGGCAGAGGAUGACGAUGCAGUUAUCUACAGCCAACUACAAACACACUGAGGUGGUCAGAGAACUUUGCUAUCUAG
Molecule: long non-coding RNA, 625 nt
Organism: Salvelinus sp. IW2-2015
Lineage: Eukaryota; Metazoa; Chordata; Actinopteri; Salmoniformes; Salmonidae
Source: RefSeq, a predicted model, not a curated record